UACGUAGGGUGCAAGCGUUAAUCGGAAUUACUGGGCGUAAAGCGCGCGUAGGCGGCUGCCUAAGUCGGAUGUGAAAGCCCCGGGCUCAACCUGGGAACUGCAUUCGAUACUGGGCGGCUAGAGUAUGAGAGAGGGAGGUAGAAUUCCACGUGUAGCGGUGAAAUGCGUAGAUAUCUGGAGGAAUACCGGUGGCGAAGGCGGCAUCCUGGACCGGCAUUGACGCUGAGGAGCGAAAGCCAGGGGAGCAAACGGG
RNAcentral lists this ribosomal RNA (253 nucleotides) under uncultured bacterium. Its description in RNAcentral is "partial 16S ribosomal RNA". It matches the Rfam family "Bacterial small subunit ribosomal RNA", at positions 524 to 776 of the family's 1533-position model. The record is from RNAcentral.